CAGGUCUUGACAUCCCUUGACAACUCCAGAGAUGGAGCGUUCCCUUCGGGGACAAGGUGACAGGUGGUGCAUGGUUGUCGUCAGCUCGUGUCGUGAGAUGUUGGGUUAAGUCCCGCAACGAGCGCAACCCUUAUUGUUAGUUGCCAGCAUUCAGUUGGGCACUCUAGCGAGACUGCCGGUGACAAACCGGAGGAAGGCGGGGACGACGUCAGAUCAUCAUGCCCCUUAUGACCUGGGCUACACACGUGCUACAAUGGCGUAUACAACGAGUUGCCAACCUGCGAAGGUGAGCUAAUCUCUUAAAGUACGUCUCAGUUCGGACUGCAGUCUGCAACUCGACUGCACGAAGUCGGAAUCGCUAGUAAUCGCGGAUCAGCACGCCGCGGUGAAUACGUUCCCGGGUCUG
This 406-nucleotide ribosomal RNA is filed under the name uncultured bacterium. Its description in RNAcentral is "bacterial SSU rRNA". It matches the Rfam family "Bacterial small subunit ribosomal RNA", at positions 975 to 1381 of the family's 1533-position model. The record is from RNAcentral.